RNAcentral lists this ribosomal RNA (254 nucleotides) under uncultured bacterium. RNAcentral describes it as "partial 16S ribosomal RNA". It matches the Rfam family "Bacterial small subunit ribosomal RNA", at positions 524 to 776 of the family's 1533-position model. The record is from RNAcentral.
UACGGGGGGGGGCAAGCGUUGUUCGGAAUUACUGGGCGUAAAGGGCUCGUAGGCGGCCAACUAAGUCGGACGUGAAAUCCCCAGGCUCAACCUGGGAACUGCGUCUGAUACUGGAUGGCUUGAAUCCGGGAGAGGGAUGCAGAAUUCCAGGUGUAGCGGUGAAAUGCGUAGAUAUCUGGAGGAAUACCGGUGGCGAAGGCGGCAUCCUGGACCGGCAUUGACGCUGAGGAGCGAAAGCGUGGGGAGCGAACAGG